GGGGGUAUAGCUCAGUGGUAAAGCAUUUGACUGCAGAUCAAGAGGUCUCCAGUUCAGCUCUGGAUGCCCCCU
This 72-nucleotide transfer RNA is filed under the name Nothobranchius furzeri (turquoise killifish). Its description in RNAcentral is "tRNA-Cys (GCA) (tRNA-Cys-GCA-12-1)". It matches the Rfam family "tRNA". Rfam says of the family: Transfer RNA (tRNA) molecules are approximately 80 nucleotides in length. Lineage: Eukaryota; Metazoa; Chordata; Actinopteri; Cyprinodontiformes; Nothobranchiidae. The record is from Rfam by way of RNAcentral.